CAGAUUCAAUUGCUCACAGGUGGGUGAUAGACUCAAAAUGCAGAGCAAGUAAGAAGGGAGAUUUAAAAACUAUGGAUUAUACCAUUGUUACAGCUGCAUCUUAGAAGCGAUAGACUGUAAGGAAAACAAAUGUUGUAGCGGUAAUUGACAAUGAAACUGAAGAACAUGAAGGACUGUAUGAAGUACGUAUGCCUAAGAUCAAGAUGGAGGCCUGGGGAGGCGACAAAGGGAGGAAAAAAGAAAGAGCGGGAAACAAAACAAAAGGACAGUGAUAGAGGAAGUGAGCCAGGAUUAAGAACUUUAAAUUAAUAUUUUUUCAUACAUUUCCACCAUUAUCUAUUUUAAAAGUAAUUUUGUAAAUUCUGAUUGAAUUGAUAUAUAUCUAUAAAAUAAUUUUACAGUGAA
Saccostrea echinata is the source of this 405-nucleotide long non-coding RNA. RefSeq lists it as uncharacterized. The transcript is spliced from 2 exons. The record is from RefSeq and is a predicted model, not a curated record. NCBI's taxonomy places the organism in Eukaryota, Metazoa, Mollusca, Bivalvia, Ostreida, Ostreidae.